RNAcentral lists this ribosomal RNA (1163 nucleotides) under Arthrobacter tumbae. Its description in RNAcentral is "bacterial SSU rRNA". It matches the Rfam family "Bacterial small subunit ribosomal RNA", at positions 40 to 1218 of the family's 1533-position model. Lineage: Bacteria; Bacillati; Actinomycetota; Actinomycetes; Micrococcales; Micrococcaceae. The record is from RNAcentral.
UCUAUSCGCUAKCAUACACUGCAGUCGACGAUGAUCCCAGCUUGCUGGGGGAUUAGUGGCGAACGGGUGAGUAACACKUGAGUAACCUGCCCUUGACUCUGGGAUAAGCCUGGGAAACCGGGUCUAAUACUGGAUAUGACCUUCUGGCGCAUGCCAUGUUGGUGGAAAGCUUUAUUGCGGUUUUGGAUGGACUCGCGGCCUAUCAGCUUGUUGGUGGGGUAAUGGCCUACCAAGGCGACGACGGGUAGCCGGCCUGAGAGGGUGGACGGCCACACUGGGACUGAGACACGGCCCAGACUCCUACGGGAGGCAGCAGUGGGGAAUAUUGCACAAUGGGCGCAAGCCUGAUGCAGCGACGCCGCGUGGGGGAUGAAGGCCUUCGGGUUGUAAACCUCUUUCAGUAGGGAAGAAGCGAAAGUGACGGUACCUGCAGAAGAAGCGCCGGCUAACUACGUGCCAGCAGCCGCGGUAAUACGUAGGGCGCAAGCGUUAUCCGGAAUUAUUGGGCGUAAAGAGCUCGUAGGCGGUUUGUCGCGUCUGCCGUGAAAGUCCGGGGCUUAACCCCGGAUCUGCGGUGGGUACGGGCAGACUAGAGUGAUGUAGGGGAGACUGGAAUUCCUGGUGUAGCGGUGAAAUGCGCAGAUAUCAGGAGGAACACCGAUGGCGAAGGCAGGUCUCUGGGCAUUAACUGACGCUGAGGAGCGAAAGCAUGGGGAGCGAACAGGAUUAGAUACCCUGGUAGUCCAUGCCGUAAACGUUGGGCACUAGGUGUGGGGGACAUUCCACGUUUUCCGCGCCGUAGCUAACGCAUUAAGUGCCCCGCCUGGGGAGUACGGCCGCAAGGCUAAAACUCAAAGGAAUUGACGGGGGCCCGCACAAGCGGCGGAGCAUGCGGAUUAAUUCGAUGCAACGCGAAGAACCUUACCAAAGCUUGACAUGAACUGGAACAGCGCAGAGAUGUGUUGGCCGCUUGCGGCCCGGUUUACAGUGGUGCAUGGUUGUCGUCAGCUCGUGUCGUGAGAUGUUGGGUUAAGUCCGCACGAGCGCACCCUCGUUCUAUGUUGCCAGCGCGUUAUGCUGGACUCAUAGAGACUGCCGGGCUCAACUCGGAAGGAGUGGGACGACGUUCAUUCAUCAUGUCCAUUWAUGUUCUUGGGGCCUCA